AGUGGCGAACGGGUGAGUAAUAUAUCGGAACGUACCUAGUAGUGGGGGAUAACGUAGCGAAAGUUACGCUAAUACCGCAUACGUCCUAAGGGAGAAAGCAGGGGAUUCGCAAGAACCUUGCGUUAUUAGAGCGGCCGAUAUCGGAUUAGCUAGUUGGAGAGGUAAAGGCUCACCAAGGCAACGAUCCGUACCUGGUCUGAGAGGACGACCAGGCACACUGGAACUGAGACACGGUCCAGACUCCUACGGGAGGCAGCAGUGGGGAAUUUUGGACAAUGGGGGCAACCCUGAUCCAGCCAUGCCGCGUGCAGGAUGAAGGCCUUCGGGUUGUAAACUGCUUUUGUUAGGAAUGAAAAGCUAUCCAAUAACACUGGAUAGUGCUGACAGUACCUAAAGAAUAAGCACCGGCUAACUACGUGCCAGCAGCCGCGGUAAUACGUAGGGUGCAAGCGUUAAUCGGAAUUACUGGGCGUAAAGCGUGCGCAGGCGGUUAUAUAAGUCAGAUGUGAAAUCCCUGGGCUCAACCUAGGAACUGCAUUUGAGACUGUAUAGCUAGAGUGUGUCAGAGGGGGGUAGAAUUCCACGUGUAGCAGUGAAAUGCGUAGAGAUGUGGAGGAAUAUCAAUGGCGAAGGCAACCCCCUGGGAUAACACUGACGCUCAUGUACGAAAGCGUGGGGAGCAAACAGGAUUAGAUACCCUGGUAGUCCACGCCCUAAACGAUGUCUACUAGUUGUUGGGGCUUUCGAGCCUUAGUAACGCAGCUAACGCGUGAAGUAGACCGCCUGGGGAGUACGGUCGCAAGAUUAAAACUCAAAGGAAUUGACGGGGACCCGCACAAGCGGUGGAUGAUGUGG
RNAcentral lists this ribosomal RNA (855 nucleotides) under uncultured bacterium. RNAcentral's name for it is "bacterial SSU rRNA". It matches the Rfam family "Bacterial small subunit ribosomal RNA", at positions 94 to 944 of the family's 1533-position model. The record is from RNAcentral.